AUAAAUAAAGGGGGACAGAGGGAGAGAGAAAACCUUAAGCAGAUUCCCUGCUGAGCAUGGAUCCCCACAUGGGGCUCAAUCACAUGACCCUGAGAUCAUGUCCUGGGAUAAAAUUAAGACUUGGACACUUAACUGACUGAGCACCCAGGUGCCCAUGAAAUCACUACUCUUCUAUUUCUUUCUCCCUAUUGCUGACUUCCAGUUAGGAAUUUACUGUUUAUAUAGGCCACAUUUAUGACAUCACAGAAUGUGUAACCAUAUGGAUAAUGUUGCCAUUGCCACAUUUUCUCUAAAUGAAUUUUUUAAGAAUGGAAGUCACGUUAUCAAAAGAUUUUAUGUGGGCCUUUAAAAAAAUGCACAAAGGAUUUAAGGUUUAUAAUCAAGUGUUCACCAUUCUUUGAAAUUUGAAAGGUAUAAUUUAAAACGAUAUUUGGAAAAAUGGCUUCAGAGUAAAGACAAACCUUCCGAGGGAACAUGAUGCAGAGGCUGUUCAUCUAUUUUUAAUCCACAUGGAGCCACAGCUCUAAUAUAGCAGACUGAUUAGAAGAAAGAUUCUGUUCCAAGGAGAAAUAGAAUUCAGUUCCUGACUUGUUCACUAAGAUCCCAUGGUACCUGCAAUUUCUAAGGCACAAUCCUUUGAAAAACCCUAAUUUGCUUGAUUACUGUAACUGGCUGAAGUAUUUUCAAAUUUAAGCUCUGUGCUAAAUGUCUUUUAAAUUUGGAUAUAUUAUAAAGAGAUAUUUAAUUCUGGCUCAGAGAAACUCCACUCUCACCAUGAAUAAAAAGUAUUUUACUUACAUUGUGAUUUAGUAGUGCUCUGCUUUAUUGCAAAUAAACAAUUCAUACCUAUUUCAGAUGCUCUGUACUCAUCACAAGAUUCAUUACAAAAUAUAAAUUUAUUAUAAAUAUAGAUAACCAUAAUGCUGUUUGGUCUAGAAUUCAUAAGGUGAUGAAAACCUUUUGGAUUUUUAAAUUGAUGAACAUUAUUGGAUAAAAGGUUUACUUACAUGACAGAAGACAGAAAUAUUCACUUGAAAGUUCCUAAAAAAUAGAUACACGUGGGUUAUCGAUGUAUUUCUUUCCAUCAAAAAUCCUAUGACUAGUUUGUUUCCAUUACAAAAUUUUGUUUUAUUUCAACUAUAAACUUAAUCUCAUAAAAACUUCUGUUCAAAAAUUUUAAUUGUAUAAUAGCCUGGAAAACGUUUUUAUUGCUCAUACUUAAACACUGUCAAUUAUAAUAACAAGUUACUAAUUUAAAAAAUAGCAUAUAGGAUGCCUGGUGGCUCAGUGGUUGAGCGUCUGCCUUUGGCUCAGGUCAUGAUCAUAGGGUCCCAGGAUCGAGUCCC
This 1346-nucleotide long non-coding RNA is filed under the name Canis lupus familiaris (dog). RNAcentral's name for it is "lncRNA (ENSCAFG00000054737.1)". The record is from RNAcentral. Lineage: Eukaryota; Metazoa; Chordata; Mammalia; Carnivora; Canidae.